This 7051-nucleotide long non-coding RNA is filed under the name Capsicum annuum. RNAcentral describes it as "long non-coding RNA (CANN_LNC000972)". The record is from RNAcentral. Lineage: Eukaryota; Viridiplantae; Streptophyta; Magnoliopsida; Solanales; Solanaceae.
GGCUGAUUAGGUCUAAGCCCACUUGCCAAAAAGACCUAACUUAAUACUCUAUACUUCAUCAUCACAUUCCUUAUUUUCCCUAGCUCCUGUCACUGCAACUCCCACUUUCUUCUUCUUCUUCUUCUUUGAAUCGUCAAUGUUAUUGUUGAUGGUGUGUUGUUUCAUAGAAGAAUAGUCAAAUGACCAAGGUAAGCUGCUUACCUCUUUCGAAUAUUUGAUUUUGACACUUAUUUUUCUUCUAAAAUCUCAAUCUUCGGCUGGUUGGGAUGUCUCUAUGUAGUGAUGUUGAAGGAGGAUGCCAUUCAGAGUUUCCAAUUCUUCCACAGGCGAGGCUCUAGCACAUGCAUUCAUUUUUUGUAAACCCUCUUCCCUUACUAACUUCCAUUGAAUUUUCGUCAACAGAUGACUAAUGGACAUGUUGUUUCUUUGCUAAUUUGGGCUUGUAGAUAACCUUCUAUGCUUAAGAAAAGAUAUGGCGUGCCUUCCUUAUGUUUUUGGUGAUUUCUUUUAUGUCCUAAUAUAGAUUAGCCAAUCUGAUUUAGCAACAUUAUAUCAUCUGUCUCUUUUGUCAUAUGAUAAAUUUCUAGUAUCUUCUAUAAAUAUUUCCAAUGUAACUAUAGCAAAUUAUAAUUUUGUUUAGUACAAAAACUAAUUCACUUCAUUUACAAUUAAUUGGUACCCAUCUAUUUAAUGAAAACUCACCCUAUUCUAUACUCUCCAAAUUCGAACAAAAAACAAAUAAUUAUGCAUAUCCCACUUAGUAUCCCCUUUCUCAUUUAUUUUUAUAUAUAUACACAUUACAAAUUGUAACAUCAUCAUCAAAAUUGAUAAUUUUCUACAAGUAUUAAGGCAUGACUGAACCAAACUUUAAAAGAGUUCAUAAUAUAGUAGAAUAAGAAAUUUUGAGAAACUAAGAUCUGACCAAUUUGAUAAUGAAAAUCCUCCAACUUCUCCUAUAUUUUAUCCUAAGAAAAAUUUGAGAUGAAAGUGGUGAUUGUAAUAAGCAAUCACUAAUUUUUUGUUUUGCAUAUUGCUCUUUUCUUUUUACAAUGUAAUGAUGAGAGUUAACUUUUCUAUGUUUGAAAAUAUUAUAAAUUUUAAAAACUGAUUCAUUACAUUUUUAAAUGACAUGUUCCUAUGAUCAUAAAAAUGUCGUGGUAUGUAUACUUAAGAUUACAAGAUAUAAGAGUACUUUUGAUACAUUCUAAAAGGUUGUUUUCUCUUUCUUUAAUUCCGUAUCUAUUAAACUUCGUCAUAUAAAAUGAAUAGAAGGUACACAAUUUUACUUUCAUAAAAAAGACCUAUUGUACACCUCAAGUAUUAAAAAUGAUCUUAAUAUACCCUUGUUUUAGGUGUUAAAGUAUUCUUCUCUUUUAUAUACAGACUCUAUUUUACCCUUUCACUUAACAGAAAACUUUUUAAAAAAACUAUUAGUAUUUUCAAUCAAUAUUUGGCAGUUUUUUAUUGGUUGAAAUUUUAAUUAACUAAAACCUUAAUAAUCUCCAAUCUCAAUCCGAACCCCACUUACUAUCCAAGAUGCUUUUUGGGGACUUACCUUAGUAGAAAGUUGAUAAAUCUUUGGUUAAAAAGUAUGGUAGAGUUUUUGCUUGAGAAAGAACUAUUCGUUUUAUGUGAUUAAAACCAUUUGACUUGACCGAAAGUUUAUUUAACAUUCCUAAAUUUAGAAUAUCUACAUAUUACAUCAAACCCUAUGAUUAUGGCAUGGAAUCUGAACCAUAUAAGAAAGGUUUCUAAUGAUAUCCAGAUGAUAGAUAGGGUUGCUUCUUAUUUCGUCCCACUAAUCUAACACUGUAAAAAUUAUAGCCAGACAUAUAGUAGAGAAGGAACCUUUAUCUUAAUGAACACCUACAUUAAAGUAAGCUUAUUAUCAAAUUUAUUAUAAGUUCUUUUGUACCCUUGAUCAACAGUUAGUAGUUGAUUAUUUCAUCUAGUGAGACUGAAAUCAUACGUGAUAUAGUUCACCUUUGAUCAAAUUUUAUUGUUACCAGGUAAAAUUGAUUGACCACCAACUAUAGAGAAAGGCUAUAAAGAAAUUUAUAAUCAUUUUGAUGAUAAACGUAAUUACUUUACUAUGGCUAUUCAGUCAGCUAAUGAUUUCCUUUUCUACUAUAUAUCUAACUAUAAUUCUUAAGUUGUUGGAUUAGUGGGAGGCAAUGGAAAGCAGCCGUAUUUAUCAUCUAGAUAUCAUUAGGAUACUAUCUCAUACAGUUCUGAUUGAUUGCCUUAUUCAUGGAGUUUGAUGUACUAUGUAGAAAUCUAAAAUUUAGGAAUGUUAAAUCAAUUUUUGGAUAAAAUAGUUUAGUAAAAUCAAAUAGUUUUAAUCCCACAAAAUAAGCAGUUCUUUCACAAACAAAUACUCUACCACACUUUUUAAGAAAAGUGAUCAAUUUUCUACAAAGGUAAAUUCCAAAACAAGCAUCUUGGACGGUAAGUGAAAUUCGAAUUGGGUUUGGGGGUUAUUAAGUUUUUAAUUAAUUAAAUUACAAACAAUAAGAAACUAACACGUGUUGAAUGAAAAUACUAUUUCUUUUAGUCUCUGUUAAGUAAAAGGAUAAAAGUAGAGUCUGUAGGUGGAUGGUAAGGAUAUUUUAGAACUCAGAGAUGGAAGAAUGGUAUGUUAGGAUUAUUUUCAAUACUUGAAGGAUAUAUUAGAACCCUUUUUUAUUCUAUUUCUCCGUCAUUUAUGUACUAUUUUCAAAAUGGUGAUUUUCUACUGAUGCAGAAAUAGGAAGUUCCCUGAAUAUGCUAUUGAGGAUUCAUCAAACGUACUUAGCAAUGGAAACUGAAGUUUUUCUAUAUAAUAGAAAAAGUAAUUUUCAUAUAUGUUAACAAAAAUUCAUUAAAGGGAACGUAUUAGAGUCAGUUCAGUAUACCUACUACUGAUGUAUUAUACUAAUACGUGUAUAAGGUACUUACCUGUUGCAAGACACGUCUCAGUAUCUUCAUAUGUCCCUAUAUGCUGUCUAUCUCCUAUCUUUCUCCUGUGUGAAAUAUAGAGAGGAUGAGGAAAUAUAAGCUCUCUUAGAUUUGUGUACAUGUGUUCUACGUAUCAAUUUUUUUAUACUACUCAAUUUUGUUAGUUGCUUAUUUGGGAUUUUUAUUUAGAGGUUAGCAGCCCCAUAUACAUCGCAGUGGUAUAUAAUUUGGCGCGGAUGGAUACAAAAUUUUGAUUCCAAUUUCUUGCUUGAUCUAUCCAUGCAUGUAUUCAAAUAGAUAAGUUGGUUCAUGUCCAUGUAUGAUUUUGGAUUACUAUUUCUUAGUGUCUUUUUUAUUUUUCUCCACAAAUUAUAAUCGUAAGUAUAUUUUCAUUCAAGUAAUUUGCAAUCAAGUUAAGUGUUUCAUCACAUACAAGUAUCACUUACUUGCCCCAUACCUUUCGAAAGUGGAAAACUACAAUUAAAAACUCAAUUUAAAGGGGAAGAAAGGAAUUCUACUAUACCCAAAUUAAACUUAAUAGAUUGUAUUAACCUUUUAUUUCAAGUUGUGUUAAGAAUAGAACAGAACACAAAGAGUUUGUUGAAAUUGUAUUGCUAAAAUUAGGGGAAAAGAAGCAUAAGAAAAUGGAGAGUAUAAAUUCAAAACAUGCAUUUGAAAAUCAAGUUUUUGCGUAUUUAUAUGUUGCAAACAAAAGAAAGAGAAAUAUAAAAAACUACAAUCUUCAAUAUGCAAGACAUGUAUGCCCUUGUCUUCAACUUUUAGUUAUUAUUAUGAUUUCUCUUCAAUUUUUGGUGUGUGUUUUAGUUAUAUUUUUUAAAUUCUGGGUUGGCGCUUCUCUUCAUCCUCAAUUAUUUCUAAUGAAAGAAGACUCAAUUCUUCUAGAAUAGGAUCGCACUUUUGAUUCUUCUAACUAAACUAGAUUUGGUUAAAAGAUCUAUGGAGUUUUUCUUUUCAAUUAUAAGAAAUUUCUUGAUUAUGGGUCUUUGUUGAAUAAAGAUAUUUGAGGUGAAAUACAAAACAAAUUUUGAAAAUUGUAUUCCAAAAGAAAAUUACUAUAAGUAUUUACACGAAUUAAUCAAUCAAUUAUGGCGUAUGCCCAAAAGAAAAGAAGGAUUAUAGUGGAAAUUAUUUGUGAAAGGUACAUACCUCCAUUUAACUAUCCUAAACUGAGCCCGAACUCCCAACUAAUAAAAGCAUUUAACUAUCCAAAACUGAGUCCAAACUCCCAACUAAUAAAAGUAAUCUUUCUGCAUUUGUGCCCUACUUUAUGAAGGAAUUUCUCAACUACUACAUUAAAAUUUUGCAUAUAUCCAUAUGGACUAUGAUUAGUAACUAGGUUGUUCGCAAGAUGGGAGCAUUAGAAAAUUAAGAUAACUAUGGUCUUAUCUUGAAUAAAUAAAUUAUGUUACUGUGAGUUGCUUCAUCUUUUGUUACUUUCUCCUUGCACCUCUCUUGGUUUUCAAAUUUUAAAGUACGUUUAUCAGUUGAAGAAUAUGAAUCUAGAUGAGUUGCUUUUAUGAAAAAAUCAUUUAUUCUCUUGAGAAUUAUGUUGAUGCAUUUAUGCUUGAAAUGUAAUUUAAACGAGUUGUCUUAAUGAGUAAGAUGUUGGAUUGUUUCUUCCACAUUUUUUUUAGUCAGAAUAUGCUAAAAUUAUUAUAUUUGUAUAGAUUAAAGAUUCCAAAAUAAUUAUAUUUGUAUAGAUUAAAGAUUUUUGUUUUAUUGAUUUCCACGGGUAUAUGUUCCUUCACUGGCAUAGUUUUUUUCAGAUUUUGUCCUUACAGUUAAGCAAACUUUUACUCCUGAAUUAUCUACUGUUAUAUUUUAACGCAUGAGAUGGAUUCAAAAUUUACUUGUACGAGUAACGAUUUAAAAACCACAUACGAUCUUCUCUAUGAUGCGUACAUAAACUAGUUAGUUUUAAAUUUCUUUUGUCUUGAUUCUUGCUUUUAUUUUAAAUCUUGACUUAUCUAUAUGAAUUAAGGCUUUGAAUUUAUAUUCUGGUAUGGCUGUUAUAGUGAUAGUUCCAUUAAAUUUUAGUUUUCCAUUAGUUUUGUUCUACUUCAUUCGUUUUGGGAUUUAAUGUAUAGACUUACAAUUUCAUGUAUUCACUUACAAUGGCAUUUAAUGUAUGCACUUACAAUUUCAUUCUAAAGAUAUAGAAGGCAUUUAGUGUUAUCACCUUUUUUUCUUUUUUAAAAUUAUUUCCCUGCAUUCCCUAAUCAAAGCCACCUACUAUAGGUUUACUUGUUAAUGAUUGAUUAUAUUUGAUAGAUUACUUUUGGAAAUAAUUCUCAAUGAUUUGUGAAGAUGUAACACUAAAUUUAAAAAAAAAUAGUAUAUUGAAGCCGCUAAUAAGUUAAUUUCAAAAUUGAAAAUGAAAUAACUUGUAAGUUAUUGUGUAACCUUCAAAUACUAUAACAAGUUUGAUCUAUACUCAAAAGAAUGUUAUCUAUCCACUUACCUCUUGCUAAUCGAAUUACUGUUUGGUAAUGGAAAAAAACAAAUAUACGUAAUUCUAACUAAAGGUAUAUUAUUUCACCCAUGAGGUAGAAGUGUGUAGCGCUGACUAGAUUUCACUUGUAGUUGUUGGGUAUACCGAUUGAAAUCAAUUAGUUACCAAUCGGGCUCAACCCAUAUGGACAACAAUCUGAGAUGCCAUGAUAUGAAUGAAGAAAGGAAAAUUUGGUUGAUUAUUUUUUUUAACAAUUACGUCAUAUAUCAGUUUUUUUGGUUAUUUUAUUACACCACCAAAUUUAAUUUUUUCAAAACAAUUAAUUGUUUUGGACUUUUCGUUGAUAUCGAUAUGAUCUGAUAAGUUUUUGAUGAUUUUUUUUAAGAUCCAUCUUAAAGUCAUACCAUUUGUUUAAUACGUGAUUAAAAAAAAAGGAGAAAAGUUACUGCAACUUUCAUUUAGCAUUUACUAUUUUUGUCUUAGUCUUGGUAGCUGUUGUUUAGUCCUUAAGUUUCUCUUAUUAGUUGAAAGCACUACUGAGUUAGUGCCUAUAUAGUGCAGUUAGUACCCUUUGUUUUUGCAUCUUUAGUUGAGUUGUAAGCUAUUUAUAAGAGUUUAUCAGGGAUGAAUGAUAUAGGAAAAAAAAUAGUCUUGCGAUUCUAGAAAACUCUCUACCAUUCUAUUUCCCUGCUAGUUUUUUUUUUCCUUUCUAAUAUUUUGUUCUUGAGUGAGCUUGAGAUCUUUUCUCCAACAUCAUUGGUAUCAAAGAUAGGUUUAUAUUGUAGUGAUCUUAUUAAUAGUUAAAAAACCCAUGGCUUCCAAUGGAAAUCCAUUGAACAUAUCUCAGUCUUCCAUCCCUGUUUUUACAGGACAAAGUUUUCAGUUCUGGAGAGUCAAGAUGAAGACUUUAUUUAAGUCAAAAGAUCUUUGAGACUUGAUUAAGACAGGGUAUGCAGAUUCGAAUGAAGAGUAGUGGCUGAAGGAAAACAAAAUAAGGACAGAAAGACUUUGUUAUUCCAUCAACUAGCAGUCAAUGAAAUGGUGUUUUCCUGAAUUGCAGCAGCCACAACUUUGAGGAUAGCAUGGAGAAUUUUAUAAAAUGAAUUUCAACGUUCCUCAAAGUAAUAGUUGUAGAACUCCAAACUUUUCGUGUCAAGACCUGUGCCGAGGCCCUGGCCGCGAUGAGCAUCCCAAAACAUGAUGGCCCGAGCUCCCCUUUCUAUUUGGAAAUCAUAAAUAUCAGUCAUAAACAAUAAAGAAAAAUGCAAAAAAGUAAACGAAUGGAAUCAUAGUCAUGUAUUGAAUUCAAUUUAACAAUACAGACUGAAAUCCAUAAAUAUCUAGAUAACAUCUACUUCAGUUUGCAAAAUCUCUUAUACAUCAAAAAUUAACAACUUGUCUAAAACUGGGACAAGACCCCCGAUAGGACCAUGAAUGAAAAUAAAAUAAUAAUGACACGUUUCAGAACUAGGCCUAUCAAAGUAAGGGAGGCUCACUGACUGCAAACUUAUGACAAGUCAAUAUACUGCUUAAAGAGACCCCAGGACUGUGUCUCAGAAUCCUGAAAUAUUGGAGGUCAAAACAAAUGUAUUGGUACGCAGAGCAAUCUAAAAGAAUAUGCUUUAAUAAAUAACAUAAGUG